RNAcentral lists this ribosomal RNA (497 nucleotides) under uncultured bacterium. RNAcentral describes it as "partial 16S ribosomal RNA". It matches the Rfam family "Bacterial small subunit ribosomal RNA", at positions 28 to 507 of the family's 1533-position model. The record is from RNAcentral.
GAUGAACGCUGGCGGCGUGCCUAAUACAUGCAAGUAGAACGCUGAAGGAAGGAGCUUGCUCUUUCCGGAUGAGUUGCGAACGGGUGAGUAACGCGUAGGUAACCUGCCUGGUAGCGGGGGAUAACUAUUGGAAACGAUAGCUAAUACCGCAUAACAGUAGAUGUUGCAUGAUAUCUACUUAAAAGGUGCAAUUGCACCACUACCAGAUGGACCUUCGUUGUAUUAGCUAGUUGGUGAGGUAACGGCUCACCAAGGCGACGAUACAUAGCCGACCUGAGAGGGUGAUCGGCCACACUGGGACUGAGACACGGCCCAGACGCCUACGGGAGGCAGCAGUAGGGAAUCUUCGGGAAGGGACGGAAGUCUGACCGAGCAACGCCGCGUGAGUGAAGAAGGUUUUCGAAUCGGAAAGCUCGGUUGUAAGAGAAGAACGAGUGUGAGAGUGGAAAGUUCACACUGUGACGGUAUCUUACCAGAAAGGGACGGCUAACUACGUG